RNAcentral lists this small RNA (27 nucleotides) under Bombyx mori (domestic silkworm). RNAcentral's name for it is "ovarian small RNA-26365". Lineage: Eukaryota; Metazoa; Arthropoda; Insecta; Lepidoptera; Bombycidae. The record is from RNAcentral.
UCAUUGCUGACACGAUUGCGUGAGGAA